AGACCAAAGUCAGGUGCUUUUAAAUACUGUGAUCAAAGAUGGAAGUUCUCUAAAGGAUGUGAUAGUUACUCAAUUGUGCUGCAUUUUCCUGAGGAGAUAUAAGC
Molecule: small nucleolar RNA, 104 nt
Filed under: Vicugna pacos (alpaca)
Lineage: Eukaryota; Metazoa; Chordata; Mammalia; Artiodactyla; Camelidae
Description: Small nucleolar RNA SNORA25 (ENSVPAG00000017794.1)
Source: RNAcentral